ACUUCUAGUCCUCACACUGGCAAAGUGAGCCAUCUUUCCAGCCCGAUGCAACAUUGUUUUACAUCAAACUUACAAGAACUACUUUGCUGGGUAUAUAGCUCAGUGGAAGAAUGCUAGCCUGGCAUAUGUGAGGCCAUAGGUUCAAUCCCCAAUGGUGCAGAAACAAAACCAACAACAACAAGCUGACAAACCAACACCACCAGCAGCAGCAGCAACCACCACAAACUAGGCAAAGAUUCCAUUUCAAAAAGAAAGAUCUAAAGAAACAGUGGACCUGCAGGUUUAAUGGAUUAGUGUGUAUUUCAGGUGCCACCCUGGGGUCUUUGUUGGCCUGCAGUGAUGCUACAUUGUACCCAAUGACAAACCAACGACAAACUCAGAAGAAGCAAAAGCUUUCCAGCAAUGAGCAGGCAGAAACUUCUGGGAAGCAAGAUGUGUGAAGAUGUAUGACUUGACAAACAACACAGACUUAAUUGCUUACAGCUUCCCGGAGACACAAUCUCUUCAGUUCCUCCAGCCUCUGGCGCAGCGUCUCCUCCAGAGCUUCCUGCCUGGAUUUCAAGGCAGCCAACAUGUCUUUCUUGGCUGACUGCGAGCUAUCUGAUUCCUGAGAACCUGUUGAUAAACAGCAGGGUUACUAGGCGGCUGACAAGGGACACACAUCUGGACCACUAAUGAAAUCCACCAGAGCUCACAACUCGGGUAUGGGAUUUACCCCGGGAAUCAAGGAGCGUGAAAUGAGACAGGUGUGCUUGUUGCAAGCAUGAGGAGUGAAUUCAAAUACCAUGUGGAAUGGAUAGCUUCACGAAGGACGGGCAGGGGAGUGGACUCUCCUGAGCAAGAACACUGUCAUUUCUGAUUGUCUUAAGACAUGUCACACCAGCCAAUUUUUAUAUGCUUUACAAAGGGAGGGGGAGAGUAAAGUUUAAGUUAAUAUUAGUAAUUUC
This 947-nucleotide long non-coding RNA is filed under the name Mus caroli (Ryukyu mouse). RNAcentral's name for it is "predicted gene 13179 (MGP_CAROLIEiJ_G0003113.1)". Lineage: Eukaryota; Metazoa; Chordata; Mammalia; Rodentia; Muridae. The record is from RNAcentral.